This is an RNA transcript of Lycium ferocissimum, 1777 nucleotides long. RefSeq lists it as uncharacterized. The record is from RefSeq and is a predicted model, not a curated record. NCBI's taxonomy places the organism in Eukaryota, Viridiplantae, Streptophyta, Magnoliopsida, Solanales, Solanaceae. The transcript is spliced from 4 exons.
CCGCACAUAGCUAUGCCAAUUGCCCUUAACAUUAUCUUCUAAUGUUAGGAAUGUUCCAAGCAUCCUUUGACCAUUUACAAAAAGUAAAUAACCAUGUCUUAAGGACACGUUUUUUCUUACCAAAACGACUUCGUUCCUUCGCUUGUUCUUCUUCCUCCCCAAGCUCUACAUGAAAUCCAUUUCCAUGGCCAAAUCCUACCCAUGUUGUCACCUUCAAUCUAAAGGAGUUGGAGAGAGUUAGACAAAGAAGUCUUAGGGUUAGCUAUGGAUCAUAUACAGUCAAGGGAAAGUGAUUUCGAGAUAGAUUUGGAGAGUGGGGGAACAACUAGUGAUGAAGAUGGAAGUAAUAACUAUGAUCUGACUGGUGAAAUUUCUAAUAAAGAGUUGUAUAAAGCGGGGAGUGGGCUUCGUGGAGUUCGAUUAUCCAAUGGAUCUGUAAGAAGCCAAGAUGGUUCAAAUACAUAUAAUAAAAAGUUUAGUGCUGAUGAGCUUUCUGUUAGGUGUACAGAAAUUUGGUCAAAUAAAGUCAGGAAAGAGAUGGAAAAUUUGAGGGACAACAAAAUGGAUAUUGACAAGACAAAGAAGCCAAAGCCUCCUAAACCACCUAGACCCCCAAAGGGUCCAUCAUUAGAUGCCUCUGACGUUAAGUUCGCCAAGGAAAUAUCUGAGCUUGCUAUAUGGAAGCGGAGAAGGACCGAAAGAAUUAAGGCAUUGAAGAAAGUUAAAAAGGAGAGUGGAUCAUCUUCGAAGAUGAAUAUAUUAGCAACGGUGAUCACAAUUCUGUUCUUCUUGGUUAUUAUAUUUCAAGGUACGCUUCAUGUCACAGGGCAUCCGAGAUUUUAAUUCGUCAGUAGUAUUGAGAGUAUGAACUUCUUCAUAACAUUUGUUAUCAUGGAGAUCUUUUGAAUAUUCUUCUUUUGACUUCUAAAUCAAGUAUGUUGUUCUUUUUGGUUUAUCUUGUAUGAAAGCUAACAGAGUUUAGUGUUGAUGCUAUAACUCUAUGAGCUUACUGGUUGUAAAUUCUUAUUAUUCCUUCUGUUUUUCACUAUUCUUGUUCUAUGUUCUUAUGAGAACUGUCGACAUGAAUAUAACAUGGUAUGCACAUUCAGAAAAAGUAUGAUGAGUUGCUAAGGAAAUUUAAUAAAUAAGGAAGAAAGGGAGAGAUCAAAAUUCUAGCUUGCAGCAGUUGCCUUUACACAAAAGUGUUUUGGGCACUCGUGUAUGACAUCAGUGUGUAUGUCGCCUUUAAUUCAGUGGUAGGUUCACGUACAAUUUCUUCUAAACUUUCUGUGCGACUGGUCUAUGAUGUGGCAUCUCAAACAGUUCUCAUUCUAUACUUUUAUCUGCUCAACAAGUACCAUUCACUUUAGAUACUCCUGUCUGCUCAACAAUCAGCCAGGGGCAGUUUUACAGGAGAUCAGGGUUUUGUGGAUUUGGAAUGACGGAGGAACUGACUCGAACAAGUAAAAUCAUUUUGAAUCUUUUGACAAAUAGCGGCUGCUUAUUGUACAGAAAUGUAACAACUACUAUGGAUUUUGUAAAGAGCUCCUGAUAUUUGUAGGUGUUCUUAAGUAGCUAGAAAGAGGUACUCUGAUUACGUGCCCCUCGGAGCCAUGCAUGAUUUUGGUGUUGUACUCUAGGAAACAAGAAGUUUAGAAAAGGGUCAUUGCAGAGCUUCACUUGCGGAAUAGAAUUAACAUAUCUUGAUUGGAGAUAUGCACCUCAUUACUGUUUUGGUUAUAUUAACUCUUCGUGCAUCUAUUACACCUUUUCUCUA